Molecule: long non-coding RNA, 807 nt
Organism: Camellia sinensis
Lineage: Eukaryota; Viridiplantae; Streptophyta; Magnoliopsida; Ericales; Theaceae
Source: RefSeq, a predicted model, not a curated record
UAACCUCAACCUCAAACCUAUUCAAACCCACUUGACAAAUAGUGUUAAACCCCCAUGCCAUGGCCAUGGCGAUGAGAGCAGCAGCGGCGGCGGGACCUGGCGGUCUGAGCCUGAGAGGGCUAUUAUUCUCUACUUUAACUUCCACUUCACCCUUCAUUCCUCCGCCGACCAAUCAAGACCCUCCACCAACCUCUUCGUCUCUGGCACGGCUUAGCAAACGUACUACUACAGAAGGACUUCAAGAUGCCUUUGCAAGGUUUGGUGAUGUGGUCCAUGCUAGUGCUAGAGUGGUGUGGUGACUGAUCAAGUAUCUGGAUAUUCCAAGGGAUUUGGUUUCAUAAGAUAUGCCACAGUAGAAGACGCUGCAAAAGGUAUAAAGGGCAUGGAUGGCAAGUUUUUGGAUGGAUGGGUAAUAUUCACGGAGUAUGCUAGACCAAGACCACAACCUCCUCAGUUCAAGAACAAUGCCGGAUCACCACCUCCUGGAUAUGGGUCUCCAUAUGGUCGUCCAUGAAUUAUUGGUGGGAGAAGCUGGUCAUUUUAAAGAUAUCAGAUUGUUUUGACCGCAAUUGUGCUUACUCUCAGUUCUCUAUUUUGACUUGCCAAGAGCUGAGUCUAGCCUAAUAUGAAUCCGAGCAGAGAUUGAAUUGACAAUAUAGACUUGAAUUGCUGCAUGUUAAGACAUUUUUGUGCAGACUAUUUGCAUCUGCUAUUCAUGAAUAUUCUGUGACAAUUUCUACUAACGAGGCUGUACUAAGACACUUCAAAAUUUGUGCAUCAUAAAUGUAUGUCUUUCUGGGUCCUCUA